UGGGGAAUAUUGCACAAUGGGCGCAAGCCUGAUGCAGCCAUGCCGCGUGUAUGAAGAAGGCCUUCGGGUUGUAAAGUACUUUCAGCGAGGAGGAAGGCGAUAAGGUUAAUAACCUUGUCGAUUGACGUUACUCGCAGAAGAAGCACCGGCUAACUCCGUGCCAGCAGCCGCGGUAAUACGGAGGGUGCAAGCGUUAAUCGGAAUUACUGGGCGUAAAGCGCACGCAGGCGGUCUGUUAAGUCAGAUGUGAAAUCCCCGGGCUCAACCUGGGAACUGCAUUUGAAACUGGCAGGCUUGAGUCUUGUAGAGGGGGGUAGAAUUCCAGGUGUAGCGGUGAAAUGCGUAGAGAUCUGGAGGAAUACCGGUGACGAAGGCGGCCCCCUGGACAAAGACUGACGCUCAGGUGCGAAAGCGUGGGGCAGCAAACAGGAUUAGA
RNAcentral lists this ribosomal RNA (436 nucleotides) under uncultured bacterium. RNAcentral's name for it is "partial 16S ribosomal RNA". It matches the Rfam family "Bacterial small subunit ribosomal RNA", at positions 355 to 782 of the family's 1533-position model. The record is from RNAcentral.